This 774-nucleotide ribosomal RNA is filed under the name uncultured Neocallimastigales. RNAcentral's name for it is "partial large subunit ribosomal RNA". It matches the Rfam family "Eukaryotic large subunit ribosomal RNA", at positions 20 to 644 of the family's 3401-position model. Lineage: Eukaryota; Fungi; Neocallimastigomycota; Neocallimastigomycetes; Neocallimastigales. The record is from RNAcentral.
UACUAGAGUAGCACUCGCAUAUCAAUAAGCGGAGGAAAAGAAACUAACAAGGAUUCCCCUAGUAACGGCGAGUGAAGCGGGAAGAGCUCAAAUUUGAAAUCUUAAAGGGUUUCCCUUUACGAAUUGUAGUUUAAAGAAGUGUUUUCUGUUGAGGUUUUGGUAAAAGUUCUUUGGAAUAGGACAUCAUAGAGGGUGAGAAUCCCGUAUUUGACCUUUACUUUCAACUUUGUGAUACACUUUCAAAGAGUCGGAUUGUUUGGGAAUGCAGUCCAAAAUGGGUGGUAAAUUUCAUCUAGAGCUAAAUAUUGGCGAGAGACCGAUAGCGAACAAGUACCGUGAGGGAAAGAUGAAAAGAACUUUGAAAAGAGAGUUAAACAGUACGUGAAAUUGUCAAAAGGGAAGCGUUUGACACCAGUGUUGUUUUUCUGAAAAUCAAUUAAAGAACUGUUUAUGCUAAGCUGUUUAGACUUUAUCAGCUAUCUGUUUAGUUUUGAGCUUUUCUUUAAUGCACUUUUCAGUUAACAAGUCAACAUCAAUUUCUUUUGCUGUAAAAAAGCUUGAGGAAGGUGGCUUGAGAUUCGUCUUAAGUGUUUAUAGCCUCUUGCCUAUGCAGUCGGAGAGAUUGAGGUCUGCAGCGUAGAUCCUUCGGGGCUAAAUGCAUUUGUGCUAAGUUAUAGCAUUUUAUAGACAACUUGUUGACUAUGAUUUGUCUUGUAGCUUACUCGCUUAUGUUAUUUUACCUACGCUUAGGAUGUUGAACUACUGAGACAUAGA